CAGCAGCCGCGGGAAUACGUAGGUGGCAAGCGUUGUCCGGAAUUAUUGGGCGUAAAGGGCUCGCAGGCGGUUUCUUAAGUCUGAUGUGAAAGCCCCCGGCUCAACCGGGGAGGGUCAUUGGAAACUGGGAAACUAGAGUGCAGAAGAGGAGAGUGGAAUUCCACGUGUAGCGGUGAAAUGCGUAGAGAUGUGGAGGAACACCAGUGGCGAAGGCGACUCUCAGGUCUGUAACUGACGCUGAGGAGCGAAAGCGUGGGGAGCGAACAGGAUUAGAUACCCCUGUAGUCCCUGUCUCUUAUAA
Molecule: ribosomal RNA, 301 nt
Filed under: uncultured bacterium
Lineage: Bacteria
Description: partial 16S ribosomal RNA
Rfam family: Bacterial small subunit ribosomal RNA
Source: RNAcentral